GAACCGGCCGUAGGGUCUCCGGAACAAAUUGUUUACAUCCCAACGCCGACCCUGAAUUGUACUGAAAUACAUCCUAGAACGGGUGCCAUAGGGAGUCUACACGGUUUCUGUGAAGGAUAUGCCUACGAGACAAUUGUGCCCUACUCCCAGGAUGUAUUUACACACAAGCCGCAAACAGAGACUUUAAACGGCAGGUCAACUCCCCUGAGCCAGGACCGUUGGGCGCCCCCUAUUAAACACCAACGGACAAUCAGUGCCCAGAUCCACAGGUCCGCUUCACCCGAACAAUACUACUGGGCGGGUAUUCACGAGACAGCGUUACAAGGACAAGGCUCACAAGCUACAGACCAGGCAGAUGCUAUAAUUAGGGUUGCCCAAAGACAUGUUCCCGAGUUCUCAGAGCUUCUUCAGAACAGCCCUCUUCAAAAAAGCCGAGACUCCUCGCCGGCUUAUAAAGACAUCCAAGAAGCUACACAUCUAGAUCCCGAGGAGGCGCCAAAGACCCCAGUCACCAGAACAGCGAAG
Long non-coding RNA from Salvelinus namaycush (lake trout), 525 nucleotides. RefSeq lists it as uncharacterized. NCBI's taxonomy places the organism in Eukaryota, Metazoa, Chordata, Actinopteri, Salmoniformes, Salmonidae. The record is from RefSeq and is a predicted model, not a curated record. The transcript has 4 exons.